GUCUGAUGCAGCAACGCCGCGUGGAGGAUGACACAUUUCGGUGCGUAAACUCCUUUUAUAUGAGAAGAUAAUGACGGUAUUAUAUGAAUAAGCACCGGCUAACUCCGUGCCAGCAGCCGCGGUAAUACGGGGGGUGCAAGCGUUACUCGGAAUCACUGGGCGUAAAGAGCAUGUAGGCGGAUUAAUAAGUUUGAAGUGAAAUCCUAUAGCUUAACUAUAGAACUGCUUUGAAAACUGUUAAUCUAGAAUGUGGGAGAGGUAGAUGGAAUUUCUGGUGUAGGGGUAAAAUCCGUAGAGAUCAGAAGGAAUACCGAUUGCGAAGGCGAUCUACUGGAACAUUAUUGACGCUGAGAUGCGAAAGCGUGGGGAGCAAACAGGAUUAGAUACCCUGGUAGUCCACGCCCUAAACGAUGUACACUAGUUGUUGUGAGACUUGAUCUUGCAGUAAUGCAGUUAACACAUUAAGUGUACCGCCUGGGGAGUACGGUCGCAAGAUUAAAACUCA
This 505-nucleotide ribosomal RNA is filed under the name uncultured Arcobacter sp. RNAcentral's name for it is "bacterial SSU rRNA". It matches the Rfam family "Bacterial small subunit ribosomal RNA", at positions 381 to 903 of the family's 1533-position model. The record is from RNAcentral. Lineage: Bacteria; Pseudomonadati; Campylobacterota; Epsilonproteobacteria; Campylobacterales; Arcobacteraceae.